CUGAAAAUAAAGGAAUUGCAUUUAAGGAAAUAUUUUUGUAGAUUCAGUAAUCACUUGAAAGUGUGCUAGUUCGUAGAAUAUGCAGUUUCAAAAUCAGCAAAACAACAAAGACUCCAUGGGCAGGAGAUAAUAUAACGCGUUAAUAAAAUGUUCGACAUCUUUAUUAAAUGCAUGACGGUUGCGAAAUUUUCGUGUAUUUUAAGGGCGGAUUUCCUGAGACAGGGGCGGCGGAAAGUCGAUAACUGGGGGGCUGAUAUUCAUAUAUUCGUGUUCACAGACUGUAAAAACA
This is a non-coding RNA of Paramuricea clavata, 289 nucleotides long. NCBI's taxonomy places the organism in Eukaryota, Metazoa, Cnidaria, Anthozoa, Malacalcyonacea, Plexauridae. The record is from the annotation of a GenBank genome assembly.